This is a small nuclear RNA of Hucho hucho (huchen), 53 nucleotides long. Its record names the gene U7. It matches the Rfam family "U7 small nuclear RNA". Rfam says of the family: Animal histone pre-mRNAs are spliced by a different mechanism than nuclear pre-mRNAs and self-splicing introns. The record is from Ensembl. NCBI's taxonomy places the organism in Eukaryota, Metazoa, Chordata, Actinopteri, Salmoniformes, Salmonidae.
AAAUGUGCUCUUUUAAUAUUUGUCCAGUAGGUUUGCUCAAGGAGAAAGCCCCC